UUACGGCCACAUCAUGUUGAAACACCGGUUCCUGUACGAUCACCGAAGUUAAGCAACGCCGAGCUUGGUCAGUACCUUGAUUGGGAAUACCAGAUGCUGUCAG
Molecule: non-coding RNA, 103 nt
Organism: Acanthosepion pharaonis
Lineage: Eukaryota; Metazoa; Mollusca; Cephalopoda; Sepiida; Sepiidae
Source: the annotation of a GenBank genome assembly